This 29-nucleotide non-coding RNA is filed under the name Mus musculus (house mouse). Lineage: Eukaryota; Metazoa; Chordata; Mammalia; Rodentia; Muridae. The record is from RNAcentral.
UAACCCACAUAGCCUUCUUGUUCUGGUGA